CCAGACUCCUACGGGAGGCAGCAGUGGGGAAUAUUGCACAAUGGGCGGAAGCCUGAUGCAGCAACGCCGCGUGCGGGAUGACGGCCUUCGGGUUGUAAACCGCUUUCGCCUGUGACGAAGCGUGAGUGACGGUAAUGGGUAAAGAAGCACCGGCUAACUACGUGCCAGCAGCCGCGGUGAUACGUAGGGUGCGAGCGUUGUCCGGAUUUAUUGGGCGUAAAGGGCUCGUAGGUGGUUGAUCGCGUCGGAAGUGUAAUCUUGGGGCUUAACCCUGAGCGUGCUUUCGAUACGGGUUGACUUGAGGAAGGUAGGGGAGAAUGGAAUUCCUGGUGGAGCGGUGGAAUGCGCAGAUAUCAGGAGGAACACCAGUGGCGAAGGCGGUUCUCUGGGCCUUUCCUGACGCUGAGGAGCGAAAGCGUGGGGAGCGAACAGGCUUAGAUACCCUGGUAGUCCACGCUGUAAACGGUGGGUACUAGGUGUGGGGUCCAUUCCACGGGUUCCGUGCCGUAGCUAACGCUUUAAGUACCCCGCCUGGGGAGUACGGCCG
RNAcentral lists this ribosomal RNA (547 nucleotides) under uncultured bacterium. RNAcentral describes it as "bacterial SSU rRNA". It matches the Rfam family "Bacterial small subunit ribosomal RNA", at positions 331 to 888 of the family's 1533-position model. The record is from RNAcentral.